GACGAACGCUGGCGGCGUGCUUAACACAUGCAAGUCGAACGGAAAGGCCCUGCUUGCAGGGUACUCGAGUGGCGAACGGGUGAGUGACACGUGGGUGAUCUGCCCUGCACUUCGGGAUAAGCCUGGGAAACUGGGUCUAAUACCGGAUAGGAGCCAUUUUUAGUGUGAUGGUUGGAAAGUUUUUUCGGUGUAGGAUGAGCUCGCGGCCUAUCAGCUUGUUGGUGGGGUAAUGGCCUACCAAGGCGGCGACGGGUAGCCGGCCUGAGAGGGUGGACGGCCACAUUGGGACUGAGAUACGGCCCAGACUCCUACGGGAGGCAGCAGUGGGGAAUAUUGCACAAGGGGCGCAAGCCUGAUGCAGCGACGCCGCGUGGGGGAUGACGGCCUUCGGGUUGGAAACUCCUUUCGCUAGGGACGAAGCUUUUUGUGACGGUACCUAGAUAAGAAGCACCGGCUAACUACGUG
This 465-nucleotide ribosomal RNA is filed under the name uncultured bacterium. RNAcentral's name for it is "partial 16S ribosomal RNA". It matches the Rfam family "Bacterial small subunit ribosomal RNA", at positions 28 to 507 of the family's 1533-position model. The record is from RNAcentral.